UCGAGAAUAAUUCGCAAUGGGCGAAAGCCUGACGAUGCGACGCCGUGUGAACGAAGAAGGCCUUCGGGUUGUAAAGUUCUGUCGUUUUGGAACAAGUACGACGUGUAAAUAAUGCGUUGUAUUGAUGGUACAAGAAAAGGAAGCACCGGCUAACUCCGUGCCAGCAGCUGCGGUAAUACGGAGGGUGCAAGCGUUAGUCGGAAUUACUGGGCGUAAAGGGUGCGUAGGCGGAUAGACAAGUCAGUGGUGAAAUUCCGGAGCUUAACUUCGGAGCUGCCACUGAAACUGUGAAUCUAGAGGAAUAGCGGGGAAAACGGAAUUCCAUGUGUAGCGGUGAAAUGCGUAGAUAUAUGGAAGAACACCUGUGGCGUAGGCGGUUUUCCAGCUACAUCCUGACGCUGAGGCACGAAAGCAAGGGGAGCAAACAGG
RNAcentral lists this ribosomal RNA (429 nucleotides) under uncultured bacterium. RNAcentral's name for it is "bacterial SSU rRNA". It matches the Rfam family "Bacterial small subunit ribosomal RNA", at positions 355 to 776 of the family's 1533-position model. The record is from RNAcentral.